CAUCGGCAGUAGCAGCAUGUAAACAUGAAUCUGGCCUUCUCUCAAUUCCUUCUCAUGGCAUUUUCAUCGGCUCGCAAAAAUCGCCAAGUCUACUCAAAUCAACCAAUGAAACCAAGGUGUAGUGAAUUUGCAUAUUCAAUCCCAAGAUGUCAACUGAAUUCCCGCAGCCGAUUAAUCCGUCAUCCCACACGAUAUGAAGUGAUGGAGUACCUUAAGGUCGAGGAGCGAGCCACAGGACCUGCGGCGCACGAGCUUGAAGGCACGGAUCGGAGGGUGCUGUGCUCCAUUCCCAGAAGGCACCAGCCACCAAAACCACCUGCUGCUCGACCUUUUUCGAGAUCCUGGUGGGCCCGGAGCACCCUCCGCCUUCCACGGCCCCCUCCACUUCCUCUGUCCUUCGCCCUCCUGUCCUUUCAAACCCCACGGCGGUGCAGAGCGCAUCGCCGAGCCCCCGCCCACCCGACAGCCUCACCUCGAAUUCUUCUCCAGCAGUUCGUUGCCCUCCUCCUUCCCCUUCCCUCCUCGACAGGUGUCCGGCGGCUUGGAUCUAUGCGGACCCGGCAUCUGUAUUUUACCUCAUUGGGGAUGGAGGUGCAGGUGCUGGAUUUGUCUUCCGAUUCCGAGGGCGAGGUGUCGGCGCACUCGCCCGAUCACAAGCGCCCCUCUCAGCAGCCGGGUGUAGACCCCAAUCGCCGGGUUGGCGACAAUGGUUCCAGCGCCGUGGACAGCCUCUUCGAGGAAGCGGGCGCGGCGAGGCCACCGCGUCACCCCAGCGACGCGCUGAACAAAGGGAAGGAGAAGGUCGUCGAUGUGGAGAGCGUGGAGUCUCCAAAGCACGGUGGGGAAUCGCUCGGUGCUGCUGGCCGCGUCCUGGGAGCUGGGAGUGAUCCGUGGAGCGCACUGGUGAGCAAGUGCAAGGCUGGGGACAGUGGGAAUAAUGGAACUGAGUGUUGGGAUAGUUGGGGUGACUGGGGUGAUCAGCUUACUAACUCGGCCCCCGUGGCGCGUCUAGGGUCAGAGAGGACGGGGUUUCAUGAGACAUAUGAACUGCGAGGGACGCCUCAGCUUCACAGUGACUCUUCAGCAUUCAGUGACCAGUGGAAGGGUAUUCUGGGUGCAAGCCCUGCUGAUCCUGUCAACUCACUGUGGUGCUCCAGGGAUACUAGCAUGAAAGAUAGUGAGGAUGAAACCUUGUCUCAAAGGUCUGUGUCUGUUCGUGAAAUUUCUAGCUGUGAUUAUUUUCUUACCGAAGAUAGUAGCUCGUCAUGGCUGUCGAAGGUCAAGGGGCUGAACUUCCCACUUCCUGAUGAGCAUCAGUUGAGAACCAGGCAGAUUGAGAAUGAUGAGAUGUUUGCCCGUAGACUUCAGGAGCAGCUCAAUCAGCAACAGCCAGGAUCUCAGCAUUCUGAAGCGGUUGAUAAAACAAUAGCCUGGACAUUACAUGAGCAAGAUGCUGAGCAUGCCAGAUUUGCUGCAAGAGAAGUCCAGUCUAGUUCUGUUUUUUUUUUGAAAGUUAUGGAACGCAUUAUCAAGCUGGCCAAGAGCUAUGUGUUGAAACGGAAGAGGAUGGCAUAACAUCAUAUAUUCAUAUCUGCCUAGCCAGAGGGACAGAUCAAUGGCACACCUAUAUUCUUAUGGACGUCACUCACCUGUUCAAAGUUUUGCUUCUUGGGCAUCAAAUCAUACUCCAAUUUCAAUGUCAAGCAGAGGCGGCUUGCAAAGAAACUCCAACUGCCCUCAAGCGGAGCAACGCAAUAUGCUUAUCUCUCAGUUAACCAGAGGAUGCUUCAGAGAAGACAUGGAUCUACAAACGAGAUUGGCUGUACUGGACUCACUUUCUGAAGCAUUUAGGAACUGCGAGGACACGCACUCUCCAGAUUCGGAUGAUGAUGAUUACGAGGACCAAAUAGCGCUCGGCGUCGACAGCCAGCAAAGAGGCGCCUCUGAUGAUCAGAUAAACAGCCUGCCACUAUCAGUAAUCGAGGGUGAAGGUCGUUCCGAUGAACCCUGCAAUAUAUGCUUGGACUGCCCUGCUGCUGGUGAUUCACUCCGGCGUUUGCCAUGCAUGCACAAGUUUCACAAAGAGUGCAUUGACAGGUGGCUCGGGAUGAAGAUAUGGUGUCCGGUUUGCAAGUCAAAUGUGUUCUCCCAGUAGGCCGUGAGCAUCUCUUAUACUUUUUGGAGCAGCAUCGAAGCUAGAUUAUAGUUGGCUGAUACGAGGCAUUGUUACGGCUGCAGUGUGUACAUUGCGUUCUUGACUUGUGCUCUCUUCUGCUCCGUGGGGAGCAUUUGAAUGCUCUUUUUCCGCGGAGAGUUUUUUUGGCUGUGAGAGAAGGCACGGAAAACCUCAUUCUGCUAUUCUCAUUUCUUGUA
RNA transcript from Zea mays, 2373 nucleotides. RefSeq lists it as uncharacterized. The transcript has 10 exons. NCBI's taxonomy places the organism in Eukaryota, Viridiplantae, Streptophyta, Magnoliopsida, Poales, Poaceae. The record is from RefSeq and is marked validated.